Molecule: small nucleolar RNA, 78 nt
Filed under: Merops nubicus (carmine bee-eater)
Lineage: Eukaryota; Metazoa; Chordata; Aves; Coraciiformes; Meropidae
Description: Small nucleolar RNA SNORD69
Rfam family: Small nucleolar RNA SNORD69
About the family: snoRNA HBII-210 belongs to the C/D family of snoRNAs.
Source: Rfam by way of RNAcentral
CGCACAAAGCGUAUGAUGAAAAAGCACCAAAACCGACUCCGUAUGAAGAGCAUUCAAUCCAACACUGAGCUUUGUGUC